AAACAAGCUCAAGCAGAUCAGAAGAGGGCCAAGUUUUUCCAGCCUGAGGGAGACCAUUUGACCUUACUCGCUGUAUAUGAGGCUUGGAAAGCUAAGAACUUUUCAGGGCCUUGGUGUUUUGAGAAUUUUGUUCAGUCCAGAUCCUUGAGGAGGGCACAGGAUGUUAGGAAACAGCUUCUCUCAAUCAUGGAUAAAUACAAAUUGGAUGUUGUGAGUGCUGGAAAGAAUUUCACGAAGAUAAGAAAAGCAAUCACAGCUGGAUUCUUCUUUCAUGCUGCUAGAAAGGAUCCACAGGAGGGUUAUCGGACCCUAGUUGAGAACCAACCUGUUUAUAUACACCCGAGCAGUGCUCUUUUUCAGAGACAACCAGACUGGGUCAUCUACCAUGAACUGGUAAUGACUACAAAGGAGUACAUGCGCGAGGUGACUGUUAUAGAUCCCAAAUGGCUUGUGGAACUGGCACCGAGGUUCUUUAAGGUGGCAGAUCCUACAAAAAUGAGCAAGAGGAAACGUCAAGAACGGAUCGAGCCACUAUAUGACAGAUACCAUGAACCUAAUUCAUGGCGAUUGAGUAAACGGCGAGCGUGAUGUGUUUCGAGAGCCAUUGUUUUCAACUGGUCCUAAUCACAAUUUCGUUCUGUCAUGCUGUAAAUUUUUAACUGUACUUUGUACAUAUUCUCCUGGAUAAUUUUAUGAAAUGGUGUAGACGCUUUGGUGGCCUGUGGACUGGAGGUGGCUUGU
This 741-nucleotide unclassified non-coding RNA is filed under the name Hevea brasiliensis (rubber tree). The record is from RNAcentral. Lineage: Eukaryota; Viridiplantae; Streptophyta; Magnoliopsida; Malpighiales; Euphorbiaceae.